UGGGUUAAUUUAGUUUUUCUAUUUGAGUGUCAUAUUAAUUUUGGCUAUCAAUCCCGUAUCCCCUCCGGAUAUAGACAACGGCUCUGCUUAUCGAUUUAGGAGAAAGGUGCCAAAUGUAUGUAAUUGAAUCCUUCUCGGCGAAUAGAUAAAUUAAUGCACGUCAGUGAACAAUUGUACAAGAUCAUAAUAUGAUCCAGUUUUGAAGUUUUAAGGAGCUAGAAGAACACGAAGAAGUUAGAAGAAGUCACUUUGAUUCUAUAGUAGUUAGAAGAAGUUAAAGCUGGUUUUUUACCUCUUCCUCGAGCUAGAAUUAUCUAAGGAGCUGUCCUUGCGCAAACCAUCAAAACCAAUGAUGACAUUGUAGAUCAAACAGCAGAAUGCAUCGUCCGCAUUGAGCAUACAGCACUUUAGAAGCACAUUUAGACUCAGAAAGCAUAACAAUGGAAUAUAUGCUCAAACUAGAUGUCCCUAUGCAGCUAAAUCUGAUCUGGGAGC
This 495-nucleotide long non-coding RNA is filed under the name Phoenix dactylifera (date palm). RNAcentral's name for it is "long non-coding RNA (PDAC_LNC014476)". The record is from RNAcentral. Lineage: Eukaryota; Viridiplantae; Streptophyta; Magnoliopsida; Arecales; Arecaceae.